Molecule: long non-coding RNA, 220 nt
Filed under: Anser brachyrhynchus (Pink-footed goose)
Lineage: Eukaryota; Metazoa; Chordata; Aves; Anseriformes; Anatidae
Description: lncRNA (ENSABRG00000016573.1)
Source: RNAcentral
GGUCAGAGGUUGGACUAGGUGAUCUUGGAGGUCUCUUCCAACCUAGACGAUUCUGUGAUUUCCCUUCUAAGCCAUGUAAACCAACACCAGACAGAAAACCUAAGAUGUUCUGAUGAGCACAUGCUGUGUUUCUUCCCUCUGGCCCUGAAAUGUUAACAGAUUUCUACAUGAUAUGUGCUUUGACUCCAGGAGACUACCAUUGAUGCAGGAAAGCAAGAGA